UUUCAGUAGCAGGAUCAGCUAGUGCGAUCGAUUUAAUUCUUCUGAGCACUUUUUCGUCAAGAAACCAAAUGGCUAGUGAUGUGUCAGAUGUUUGUCAGAAAUUACAGGGAGUUCAGCUUCAGUUGAGUCUGGUAUUGACUAGGAAUGAAGAUGUCCUCAAACACUUAGAAGAAGUAGAGAAGAUUUUCUUAAAGAAUGGCUCCUCAACUGACAGGGAAAACUUCAGUAAGAGUAUCAGACAAUCCAGACUUAUCAGUAGUAAGCUUGAGGAGAGUAUUCAAACACAAUGUACCUCUAUUGGACUUGCUGUUACUGAACUGGAAAAAAGGAGUGCAGAUGCAGAAGAACAAAGCACAGGAAGUACACCAAGGAAAGGCAGAAGGAGGUCAUCUGCAGCUGAAAAGUCUGGUUUGGAAUUCCAGCUUAAGUCCCAACUAAAUCACAAUGUCCUUCUCCAUAAGGAGAAAGCAGAGUUGGAGACCAGACUUAAGGAGCACAUGGGGACUCUUAAGGAAUCUGGUAAACAAGCUGAUAAACUGGAAGAGGAGAUUGUGGAGACCAAGAAACAGAUGAAGAAUCUUCUUGAUAUGUUUGAAGAAAAGGCAGUAGAAGCUGAGAAUAGAAUAGGUGAACUGCAUGAAGCCAUGGAGAGGACCCAAGAAAAGGCCAAUCAAUACCAAGCCAUGUAUGAGGCUGAGAAAGAGUCUAACUAUAGAUUUGAGAAAGAACACAAAGAGAGAGAAAAGAAUAGAUUCAAGAUGGAGAAUGGAGAUGAUGAGGGUGAUGGUUUAGGACCGGUCUUGAUAUCAAGACCUCAGACUUCGGUGAAAAGAUCAAAGUCGACACCAAUCGACCCAUAUCACAUCGACCCUCAGUACCAGUCCGUUAUGGAGGAAAAUAAGGCCUUAAAAGCAGAAGUAGAUAGAUUAGUGAAUGAUAAUGUACAUCUAUUAAAGAAGAGUAAGCAAGCUCAAAGGGAUAUUGAAACUAUUCAGAAUCAUGUUGCAACUUGUUCAGGUCAGAGGGAUGAACUAAGAAGAAGACUAAAGAAAGAACAGGAAGAGAAGCGUAAGCUUUCAUCAUCAAUGACGAGGCAAGCAUCUGAUUGGAUCAUGCAGAAGAAGAUGGUUAAAGACAUUGAACAUUAUAGUAAAGCCGGAAAGACAUGUUCAUAUUUACUGUGUUGCUGAGCUUACACCACUCUCUCUGUUUCUUUCUACAUGGACUUGUACACCCAGCAGUGACUAAACUCAGAUUCAACCAGAGUCUACGUUAUCAGCCAGUGUACGUUAUAGAAGCCACCCAAUCAAAGUGAAUGAGGAUAAACCUAGGAACAUUCCUGUAGAGAGUUGGUCAUCUGAAAAUCCUCUUAGAGCUGUAUGAGAAAUGAAGUUGAUUCCUGAGGUUCUCAUUAUCAUCAGAAGUAUAUGAUUUCAACUACAGCUCCAUGAUGAUUCAGAGCUUUUAGCCCAAUUUGUGUAAUGAAAAUUAAUCUAGUUAUGAUAUAAGUCACUCAUGCCACCAAAAUGAGUAAAGAAUUGAUUUACCAGACAUGAUAUGAGAUUGUGCCUGAAUUGAAACUUUGUUGAAAAUGCAAUGCCCAACCUUUACUAUCUUGUUUUUUUUUUUGGGGGGGAGGAAGAUUCAAUUCUGAACUCAGGUUUAAAUUAAACCCCGGUUUAAAGUUGUGGUUUAACUAUGGAGACCAAAUUGGGGCACGAAUACCUAAGAGCGCACAUCCCAUUUAUUCACUCAUAUGACACCCAAAUUGUCUGGGAAUGAUAACUGAAAUUUUUUUUUUUUCAUUUGAAAGUGAAAGGAAACUAAAUAGUAAACAUAAGAAAUAUACAAUAUAAACAAAUUUUUUGAACUUUUGACUCCCCAUGAUUUUAGCACAGAGACCGUGGUCUAAGUUUAACCUGACUUAAGAAUACGGGCCAAUAUGUUUUUUGCAUUUCAUAUCCUAUUAUUAAUAUAUAAUUGAAUUUGAUUUGAUUUGAUUUUAAAAAUUGUAAUGUGUUUUCAUCCAGUGGCUUUUUAUAAGCAGGUCUGUACAUACAUAGUAAUCAUGUGAUAAUUAUUACAAUUUUUUAUUAUGAUUAUUAAAUUCAAAUUUUGUGUAAAUUUAUUUCUCAUACAUAUAAAUUAAAACUGACCUUUUUUUUUUGCUGCAGUGAAUCUCUUGUGUGAACCUAAAUACAUGUAGCUGUGUCAUAUCUCAUUCAGGUUUGUUUGACUUACAUUCCAUUGGAUAGUGAAUAUGAAUACUAAAAUAGAUCCACUCCAUGAGGAGACAAUGAUGGGGGCAAAGGGAUAUUCUGAAAGUAAAAUUUAUCAGCACUGUAUGAUUUUACUAUCUUUUAUACAAUUAUGCCCAUUGAAUAUAGUCUGCAGGCACAGACCCUGAAUGAAAUUUUUAUCAACAAGUGGGUCUCCAUGCAAAGACUAGCACAUAUAAAACUUGCUGUUUCAAUUCUGAACGAGAGGGCCUUCAGUUUGAAGUGCUACCACUUGAAUUUUGUAUGAUACAUUUAUAUUUGCUGUAUGAAAUAUAACGCCUACAAGUAUUGCAAUGAAUUAUUUUUAUGUACAUAUUCUUUACCUGCUAAAUAAAUUAGUAUUUUUUACAUGAAAUGAUUUGUAUUGUAUAGUACAGUUAUAUACAUCACCUUCAAAUAAUUUAUAUGAGUGAAACCAAAUUUCUCAUAUACACACAUUCAUUACAUUAUUUGUAUUUGAUGCUACCUUGUAGAUAAUCAGAAAGCAUUGUUG
Molecule: unclassified non-coding RNA, 2772 nt
Filed under: Lytechinus variegatus (green sea urchin)
Lineage: Eukaryota; Metazoa; Echinodermata; Echinoidea; Temnopleuroida; Toxopneustidae
Description: nuclear matrix constituent protein 1a-like, transcript variant X1
Source: RNAcentral